This 301-nucleotide ribosomal RNA is filed under the name uncultured bacterium. Its description in RNAcentral is "partial 16S ribosomal RNA". It matches the Rfam family "Bacterial small subunit ribosomal RNA", at positions 509 to 807 of the family's 1533-position model. The record is from RNAcentral.
CAGCAGCCACGGUAAUGCGUAGGUGGCAAGCGUUGUCCGGAAUUAUUGGGCGUAAAGGGCUCGCAGGCGGUUUCUUAAGUCUGAUGUGAAAGCCCCCGGCUCAACCGGGGAGGGUCAUUGGAAACUGGGAAACUUGAGUGCAGAAGAGGAGAGUGGAAUUCCACAUGUAGCGGUGAAAUGCGUAGAGAUGUGGAGGAACACCAGUGGCGAAGGCGACUCUCUGGUCUGUAACUGACGCUGAGGCGUGAAAGCGUGGGGAGCAAACAGGAUUAGAUACCCGUGUAGUCCCUGUCUCUUAUAC